Acanthosepion pharaonis is the source of this 102-nucleotide non-coding RNA. The record is from the annotation of a GenBank genome assembly. Lineage: Eukaryota; Metazoa; Mollusca; Cephalopoda; Sepiida; Sepiidae.
CUUGUUGAAACACUGGUUCUUGUAUGAUCCCUGAAGUUAAGCAACAUUGAGCCUGGUCAGUACCUAGAUGAGUAACCACUUGGGAAUACGAGGUGCUGUAAG